ACUCGCUAAACAACAACAGUAGCCAACAAGACAAAAGCUACAAGCUAACGGUGAAAAUGUUGAAUGAACGUCUCCUGAACAAAGGUGUAGUCAGUGAAUGCAGCACCAUACAGACAGUGAUGGAGAUGAGCCACAUCACAUGGACUGUGAAAGGAAUGACACUUCCAGUGUCAGUAUGGACUUUCAUAUUAGAUGUUCUGCUGCCUCAGUGGAUGAGAUGAUGGAGAUGGAGGAACAUCCUACAGAACUGAUACCAACACCUCCUCUGUGCUGAUGCUGCUGGAUUUCCUGCCUGCGAGGAUGAAGUCCUGGAAAUGGAGGACCUUCAUACAGACCUACUGAUGCUGCUGGGUUUUGACGACGACAGCGGCUGGCCCCUGACUCAAGUUAUGUUAUUUGUUGCCCCUGUGGGUAAGAAAUAGCAUUUCUUGGGUGUGAAAGGGGGGGUGCAGAAGUGUUUUUUUCACCUGUUUUCUGUCUUUUUCAAUAAAAAAUUUUGUACACCCCCCUGCUUUCCAUGUGAGGGCUCAUUAUGAGUCCCUAGUUUCAUCGCGCCCUUACUGAGCAAGCCCAGGAAUCGAACCACCGGCCAGCCUCACAGUAGACAGUUGUAUUUGCCCCACCGACCUUCUAACUGAGCUAUCUGUGAGCUACUAAUGAAGUGUUCGGAACUUGUAUUUAUUGUGUGUUUUUUGGACCUGAACGUGUGUAAAAGUUCAAGCAUUCUCUGUGGGUCUUGAACUAACUACCUUUGAGUGCAGGGGAUGAGUCUUGCACUAGUUUUAACCACUGAGCUAUUCUAUCAGCUGAUACUACAAAUUUGGAAGUUGUAUUUAUUGUGUUUGCUUCCGCUCCUCUGUUUUUUGGGUGAAAAGCAAGUACCUGAGCGGGACUUGAUCUCACAACCCUCGAAACUAUAGUGAAAGUGUGCUUUUUGCCUGAUGCUUAGACCACUGAGCUAAACUCAAGGUUGGGAAGUUGGAGUCAAUUUCCAAGUAUAAGAAAUGUAUACAGCUGAAACCCUGAGGAGCGAGAAGGGACGGAAAUUUUGAAAAAAUAGAUCCCGGUGUGGGAUUUGAACCCACAAUCUCAAAAGUUGUAGGGUUGUGUGACAUUUGCCCCAUUUCUUAACCACUGUGCUACAGCUGAAUUGCUGAUGUGAGAGGUUUUUUUUUGGUAUUUGAGGCAUAAACUUGAACUGUGAGGACUGACUCUGCUCCAUCUCCAAGUAGGGUCUAGGCCUUUGGCUCAAAGAGGUCAGGAAGGGGAACUGAACCAGACUGAAAGUCAUGUGAAGUCUGUGAUACAGACAACUCACCACCACACCAGUCUAACCUGCCAUGUGAUAGAGUCUGCAAUGACUGUUACCCAAAAAAUAAUAAGUGGACAAAUCAACUAAUACUAACUAGUAAAAUCUCAGUGCUCUAAAACUGGUACAGGACUUUACAGAAACACUUCACAAAAAAAUAUAUGCGGGUAACACAUUAAACCUCUGACAGCACUAUGAACAUCAGUCUUCAUGGAGAAAACACUGAACCAGUUCAAUAAUCCAAAUCCAAUUUUAUUUAUAAAGCAUCAAAUCAUAACAGAAGUCAUGUCAGGACACUUUCCAUUCAGAGCUGGUGUUGACCAGACUCUAUCACAUGGCAGGUUAGGCUGGUGUGGUGGUGAGUUGUCUGUAUCACAGACUUCACAUGACUUUCAGUCUGGUUCAGUUCCCCUUCCUGACCUCUUUGAGCCAAAGGCCUAGACCCUACUUGGAGAUGGAGCAGAGUCAGUCCUCACAGUUCAAGUUUACGCCUCAAAUACCAAAAAAAAACCCCUCUCACAUCAGUAAUUCAGCUGUAGCACAGUGGUUAAGAAAUGGGGCAAAUGUCACACAAUCCUACAACUUUUGAGAUUGUGGGUUCAAAUCCCACACCGGGAUCUAUUUUUUCAAAAUUUCCGUCCCUUCUCGCUCCUCAGGGUUUCAGCUGUACACAUUUCUUAUACUUGGAAAUUGACUCCAACUUCCUAACCUUGAGUUUAGCUCAGUGGUCUAAGCAUCAGGCAAAAAGCGCACUUUGACUACAGAUUUAAAGGUUGUGAGAUCAAGUCCUGCUCUGGUAUUUACUUUUCACUCAAAAAACAGAGGAGCGGAAGCAAACACAAUAAAUACAACUUCCAAAUUUGCAGUAUCAGCUGAUGGAAAAGCUCAGUGGUUAAAACUAGUACAAUACUCAUCCCCUGCACUUGUAGGUAGUUAGUUCAAGACCCACAGAAAACACUUGAGCUAUUACAUAUUUUCAGGUCCAAAAAACACACAAUAAAUACAAGUUCCAAACACUUCAUCAGUAGCUGACAGAAUAGCUCAGUGUUUAAGACCAGUAUGAGACUCAUCCCCUGCACUGAAAGGGAGCUAGUUCAAGACCUGCAAAGAACAUUUAAGCUUUUACACAACUCACCACCACACCAGCCUAAUCUGCCAUGUGAUAGUCUGCAAUGACUGUUACUCAAAAAAUAAUAAGUGGACAAAUCAACUAAUACUAACUAGUAAAAUCUCAGUGCUCUAAAACUGGUACAGGACUUUACAGAAACACUUCACAAAAAAAUAUAUGCGGGUAACACAUUAAACCUCUGACAGCACUAUGAACAUCAGUCUUCAUGGAGAAAACACUGAACCAGUUCAAUAAUCCAAAUCCAAUUUUAUUUAUAAAGCAUCAAAUCAUAACAGAAGUCAUGUCAGGACACUUUCCAUUCAGAGCUGGUGUUGACCAGACUCCGUCACAUGGCAGGUUAGACUGGUGUGGUGGUGAGUUGUCUGUAUCACAGACUUCACAUGACUUUCAGUCUGGUUCAGUUCCCCUUCCUGACCUCUUUGAGCCAAAGGCCUAGACCCUACUUGGAGAUGGAGCAGAGUCUGUCAUCACAGUUCAAGUUUAUGCCUCAAAUACCAAAAAAAAACCUCUCACAUCAGCAAUUCAGCUGUAGCACAGUGGUUAAGAAAUGGGGCAAAUGUCACACAACCCUACAACUUUUGAGAUUGUGGGUUCAAAUCCCACACCGGGAUCUAUUUUUUCAAAAUUUCCGUCCCUUCUCGCUCCUCAGGGUUUCAGCUGUACACAUUUCUUAUACUUGGAAAUUGACUCCAACUUCCCAACCUUGAGUUUAGCUCAGUGGCCUAAGCAUCAGGCAAAAAGCACACUUUCACUACAGAUUUGAGGGUUGUGAGAUCAAGUCCCGCUCAGGUACUUGCUUUUCACCCAAAAAACAGAGGAGCGGAAGCAAACACAAUAAAUACAACUUCCAAAGUUGUAGUAUCAGCUGAUAGAAUAGCUCAGUGGUUAAAACUAGUGCAAGACUCAUCCCCUGCACUCAAAGGUAGUUAGUUCAAGACCCACAGAGAAUGCUUGAACUUUUACACACGUUCAGGUCCAAAAAACACACAAUAAAUACAAGUUCCGAACACUUCAUUAGUAGCUCACAGAUAGCUCAGUCAGAAGGUCGGUGGGGCAAACACAACUGUCUACUGUGAGGCUGGCCGGUGGUUCGAUUCCUGGGCUUGCUCGGUAAGGGCGCGAUGAAACUAGGGACUCAUAAUGAGCCCUCACAUGGAAAGCAGGGGGGUGUACAAAAUUUUUUAUUGAAAAAGACAGGAAACAGGUGAAAAAAACACUUCUGCACCCCCCUUUCACACCCAAGAAAUGCUAUUUCUUACCCACAGGGGCAACAAAUAACAUAACUUGAGUCAGGGGCCAGCCGCUGUCGUCGUCAAAACCUGGAAGAAAAACAACACAAAAACUUACACUCAACAUAACCUUCAAAAAACACACCAAUAGCAUUACACAGACAAUUCAGUUCAGUUACAUCACAUUAGGAAAACUACUCAAUGGCUUCAAAACACAACCAAUACAAAUACACUUUCAAAAAACACAAGACAUAUUCAUGGAACCUCAAAUACUAAACAAACACUGAUCAUUAUUCUAAAACACCAGCUCGUCAUCAUCUCCUGCUCCAUAACCCCUCCCUGACACAUCUCACGAAACGCGGAGGGGUCUAGGCCCCCUCCGCCCCUCCCUCUCCGUCCGCUCCCGAUACUCAGCUCCCACGAGUCUUGAACCUUCAACCUGCCGAUGACAGGCGGCCGGACAACAACCAAGGACCAAGCCACUGAGCCACCGAGCACCGGGGCACUAACACCUCCUGUCUCACUGCUUUUCACACAACUGCACAGGACCACAGGCCCAACAACACAUAGAAUCAAACAAAAACAUCACAUUUCCAUCUCAUCUGUUUCACUGGAACAAAUUCACUCAGCUUUUACACAACACUAAUCUCUCACACAUUAACACUCACAACCACACUGUACAAAACCUCACACUCCUCUAAAACCCUUCCAAAUAAAACAUACUAUUUCAUCCAAUUUAACUCAGACAGUGGAGAAAACAUCAGGAAUGCGUAUUUCUGGAAACCAACAGUCAACCUGGACUAUGUCUGCAUUAGAAACCAAAUCAAACUUACAAAUCUGGGAAGAACAACCAUUUCACAAACUACACACCUGCUACUACUACCUCAAUUCAUCAAAUAAACCAUCUGACAAAAACAGGACAAAAUGUGUCUCAUCCAUUUAACUGGGCCUUUAUGGGACAAAUUCACAGUCAGUAUCUGAGUCAUUAAACACACACAACCAGACUGUAGAAAACCUGGAUAAAUGUAACUCUCACAAAUGCUAGAAAAAAACUAUUCAGUAAACAGUUGGACAAAUUCAUAGAUAAAAAACUACUAGAUAAUAACUCAUAGAUAAUAAACUACUCACUCAAAGUCAAUACUGAUUCAGACCAAACAGAGCAACUUCACUGGUAUUAAUAGAGUCAACAGAGGAAACUACCACCUCAAUAGAACAAAACCAUCACACAGUUGGAGCAUUCACUGACCUCACAAAAGCUUUUCAGUAAUAAAGAUAAAAUAUCUCACCCAGCAGCAUCAGUAGGUCUGUAUGAAGGUCCUCCAUUUCCAGGACUUCAUCCUCGCAGGCAGGAAAUCUACAAGUGGGACAAAAGAAUUACUGACAUUACUUUGACAUCCUACAGAGAACAUGUGGAAUGAGAAAGACCAUCCAUUCUAUGAAAGGUUUUUGCUGCGCCGACAUUCUGUCACUCUAUUCCUGUGUCUGUGUGCUGCACACUGCCCAAAUACCUGGCCCCUCCCCCUCACACACAGACCAGCAAAGUGCAUCAACACCUCUUACACUCACUCGGCUGCAGCAGAGAAGAGAGAAAACGGCAAAAGAAACUGCACUUAUUUUACUCCAUGCUAAGCUGUGACUUUGUAAAACAAAUGCUACACUUUAAUGUCCCAUGAGAAAAACAUCCUUGCGGAAACACGCUGUCAGGGUACUAGUUUUUUUUACGCAAGUUUUAAAGAGCGUAUUACAGCGCUUUAACGUUGUGUAAGUGGCAUCUCAGUGAAAUAAACAAAGACAUAUGCAACUGUUAAUCAACAUGUACACCAUGUUACACAGUGUUUUAAAGUUGGGUAAAUUAUCUUUGUGAGAUAAACUCUUUGUGAGAUGCAACUGUUAAUCAACAUGUUCAAUAUCUAAUAUCAGACUAUUACACGGCGUUUUAAAGUUAUGUGAGUUGCAUCUUUGUGAAAUAAACAUAUAUGCAACUGGUAACUCCCAUGUCCAUCAUUAAUAUCAGACAGCGUCCCACUUCAUACUGUCAUGCAGGAUUUACUGGGGCUCAUAAAUUCACAAUGUCUUCAUUAAAAUAAUUUUGAAAAGGUUCCAAGUUGUAGUUGUAAUUUCAUGUUUUGAGAGCAGCUACAUUGUUACAUAAAAUGUAGUUUAGUCCCUUGUAUUAAGUCUAAUAAUGUGAUGCAUGUUUGAUUAUUUCUUAUUUUGUUUGUAGACAACUUUUUUUUCACUUUUUAAUGUUUGCUUCAGCAUUUAUUUUUGAGCUGUUUGCAAAUACCCAGUGGCUGCAGAUGGAACUUUUCAUUUGCUGGUAAAUAUGACUAAAUGAUAUUGAUAAGAUGUUUUUGUGAAUAAGCCUUUUAAAAACACCUCACAUUAGCCUAUGUAUUAUCACUUUCAGCUAAAUGCAGCCACUUGUUUUCAUUUUAAAACGGCCAACUAUUCAAUCAAAUUCUAUG
Long non-coding RNA from Sphaeramia orbicularis (orbiculate cardinalfish), 6135 nucleotides. RefSeq lists it as uncharacterized. The transcript has 6 exons. The record is from RefSeq and is a predicted model, not a curated record. Lineage: Eukaryota; Metazoa; Chordata; Actinopteri; Kurtiformes; Apogonidae.